This 117-nucleotide small RNA is filed under the name Marmota monax (woodchuck). Lineage: Eukaryota; Metazoa; Chordata; Mammalia; Rodentia; Sciuridae. The record is from RNAcentral.
GCUGGGCAGGGUGGUGUAUGCCUGCAGUCCCAGCUGCUUGGGAAGCUGAAACAGAAGGAUCAAUUGAGCCCAGGGUUUCUGGGUCAGCCUUGGCAAUAUAGCAAAGCCCCAUCUCAU